UACAGAGGGGGCAAGCGUUGUUCGGAAUUACUGGGCGUAAAGGGCGCGUAGGCGGCCUGCUAAGUCGAACGUGAAAUCCCCGGGCUCAACCCGGGAACUGCGUCCGAUACUGGCAGGCUUGAAUUCGGGAGAGGGAUGUGGAAUUCCAGGUGUAGCGGUGAAAUGCGUAGAUAUCAGGAGGAACGAGCCGGUAGGCGGAAGGCGGGUCUCUGGGCAG
RNAcentral lists this ribosomal RNA (217 nucleotides) under uncultured bacterium. Its description in RNAcentral is "partial 16S ribosomal RNA". It matches the Rfam family "Bacterial small subunit ribosomal RNA", at positions 524 to 736 of the family's 1533-position model. The record is from RNAcentral.